Molecule: ribosomal RNA, 540 nt
Filed under: uncultured bacterium
Lineage: Bacteria
Description: partial 16S ribosomal RNA
Rfam family: Bacterial small subunit ribosomal RNA
Source: RNAcentral
UGGGGAAUAUUGCACAAUGGGCGAAAGCCUGAUGCAGCAACGCCGCGUGAGUGAUGAAGGUCUUCGGAUUGUAAAGCUCUGUCUUUUGGGACGAUAAUGACGGUACCAAAGGAGGAAGCCACGGCUAACUACGUGCCAGCAGCCGCGGUAAUACGUAGGUGGCGAGCGUUGUCCGGAUUUACUGGGCGUAAAGGGUGCGUAGGCGGAUGUUUAAGUGAAAUGUGAAAUACCCGGGCUUAACUUGGGUGCUGCAUUUCAAACUGGAUAUCUAGAGUGCAGGAGAGGAGAAUGGAAUUCCUAGUGUAGCGGUGAAAUGCGUAGAGAUUAGGAAGAACACCAGUGGCGAAGGCGAUUCUCUGGACUGUAACUGACGCUGAGGCACGAAAGCGUGGGUAGCAAACAGGAUUAGAUACCCUGGUAGUCCACGCCGUAAACGAUGAGUACUAGGUGUAGGAGGUAUCGACCCCUUCUGUGCCGCAGUAAACACAUUAAGUACUCCGCCUGGGAAGUACGAUCGCAAGAUUAAAACUCUAAAGUGAA